AUUGUAAUUCCCAUUACGUGCAAUGUGAUCAGUGCAAACUGUAUCGUCAAGAAACAUUAUUAUUUAAACAAGCCACACACUGGAUGAACCAAAACAAUUAUGUUGCAACCAGGGAGGAUAAGACAAAGAGAAUCGUAAUUUUGGAGCGCAGUAAAUAUGAUAUGUUUCUAGAAGGCUUUAUCAAAGACACAAAGGCGACCCUACUCAACAAAGAUCCAACCAUAAAAUUAGCAGCCCAAAUGAAUGCUUUGUCGAGGCAUAAAGAUUUCCCGAUGAUCUGGAAACAAAAUAACAGCACCCGCCUGCCCUAGACUGUUCGCAUAUAUUAAAACUCAUAAAAGCCCGAUUGUGGCCAGGCCUAUAGUCGAGAAGGACUCUCCAACAUUCAACCUUGAGAAAACACUUGGGAAAUGGUGCGCCGCUAUCUUGGGUUAGUCUGAAUUUUCCAUCAACGCAUGUUCAGAAGCACUUAAUAGGAUCAGGAUGUUGGAUUGGCAAGAAAAUGAC
RNAcentral lists this long non-coding RNA (507 nucleotides) under Androctonus crassicauda. Lineage: Eukaryota; Metazoa; Arthropoda; Arachnida; Scorpiones; Buthidae. The record is from RNAcentral.